This 10503-nucleotide long non-coding RNA is filed under the name Homo sapiens (human). Its description in RNAcentral is "HSALNT0308630". Lineage: Eukaryota; Metazoa; Chordata; Mammalia; Primates; Hominidae. The record is from RNAcentral.
CUUUAUUUCCUCCCAUCUUUCCUACAUUUACAUAGUUUUCUUAACCUGUUCCCUGUCACCUAUUUUUUUUAACAUUAGUAAGUCCUAGACCAAAGGUUUUGUAUUCUUCCAUUCCAUCUGACUGCUUUUUUGGAUGGUGGCCAUUCUCUGGUACACUGGUACCGAAGAUUUCACCAUGGAAAGCUGUGCUUGACCUUUCAACCUGAUCCUUUUUUUCAUCUUGACAUAAUAAGGCUGCCAUGUCUUCACCCUUCAGUGGAAAAGCCCGUCGUUCCCACCACAAAGACUGAAAGGGGAAAAAUUUUCAGUUAAGUUUCAACUAACUUGUUUUGUUUAAAUUCAUCUAACAAGUAAUCUGUACAUGUCUAUAUUGUAAUAAUUGUUCUGUUCUUUAGCACAUAAAUGUACAAUUUUUCAUUUCAACUUAAAUAGCAACUCAAAAUGGAAUAUAUUGAGAAUUGUUGAGUGACUUUUGGGAUUUAUUUCUUUACUUUGCCUCUGCCAAGAAGAGGAAAUGCUGCCAUAGGCAGUGGUCUUCAUUUCCGACCUAAGAGUACUUUGGGAAAGUGUUCUUAGGUUUGAUAUACUUCUACAGUAUCUUCAUUUUCAUUAUUAAAGGUACCUAUUAACUUUUUCUUUCCUGAGCUUUCUGCAACUUGCCUAUUAAUUCUAUAAUCUCCAUUCCAUUCUAGAUCUAGUUCUUUUUCAGUAUCUAUUUAGGAAGAAAGGUGUAAGAACUUUAUGGAUGCAGUGUUAGAAAGCAGUCCCUUUAAAGUAGGAACUGGGUCUGUGGUGAGGCAUGUAAAAAUCUUAAGAUAUGAGGAGAAAGAAAUAGCAGCUAACUUUGGCCAUGUAGCAGGUGCUAUUCUUCAUUAAUCAGGUUUGUUUCGUAAUGAAACUUUGAUAGUACUUCCACUCUCUAAUAGAUAAAUAAGUACUUGGAAGUUCGUAUUGACUUGUUACACAAGGUGAUUAUAGUUAGUAGUGGACACAAAAUGCUGCAAUACAGAUCUUCUAUACCUAACUUAUUGAAUUUGUUAUGUAAUGAUGUAAUAAACUUAAUUUUUUUCAAGUAGUUUCUACAAACAAGUAGUUAAAAGUCAAGGAAUGGGAAGUUUAAUCAUACAUAUUACACUUACCUUGGUUUCUUGACUUUGAUUUAAAGAAGGUAAGCCAUAUGCACACAGAUCCUGGUUCUCUGAAGGAAGCCCAGGAGGACUUGCAGCAGCACAUUGCUGACUGCUACUGAAGUUAUUAGGGUAUUCUUUCAAAAGCAAGUCCUGUCCUUCAACAUUUUUACUGUAAGCUCUAGCAAGAAAAUCAGGAAAACACAAUUAUUUUUUAUUUUUUGAGGUCUUGAAAAUUUAUGAACAACCCAAGGUAUCACUGAGUCAAGUUAACUUGGUAACUUUAAACAGUUUUGCCCAAAGAUUUUUAAAAAUUCCCCUGGUGCUAUUUAUUAUUUUCAUACUCAGAGGAUGAAAUAGUACUUUAUGAAAUAUUUUACCGAAUUAUAACAGUUGUGGGGGGAGGGUUAUUCUUGUUUUUUAUUUGGGUUUGCUUUUGUCUUUUGUCUGACUAAUUAAAUGAAAGAUGCUCCUUAACUAAAGUGACUACCAGACUUCACACAAUCUUGCCUUUUUGAGUUUUGGCUAUUUUAAAAAUGAUCAAAUGUAUAAUAAAUAUAAAAUAGGAAUUUUCUCAUAUAUAUAAUAAUUAUGUCUGAUUUAUUUCCCCUUCCCUCAAAGCUCAUUUGUGUUUCUAAAAGUAUUUUAGACUUUUUGCAUUUUAGAUUAAACAGGUUUCUUGAGAAAUUUUUUAUUUUUUUAAAGAAAAACAUAUUUUGGAAGUAGUGAUGUUAAAAUGGAUUACCUAAACUCCAGUCCCCAGUGUGAGGUCCAUUAUUAAAGUAGAUUGAAAUGACCUACUUUAUAUAUACAGAGAAUUUUCACAUUAUUUGUUAGUUAAAUCCAUUCCUGAGGCUGACAACAUAAGAGAGGAAAAUACAGAAACUAAUUUCAUCAUUAUAUAAUUAGCUCAAAUAUAUUUUGAAUACAAGCUCAUUCUAUGUAGUAUUUUACUUCUGGUGCACAAUAGCUGAUGUUACAACAGCAUGUUUUCCUUUUUACUGGUCUCACCCAAAAUUCAUGCAGAGGUUUUGUUCAUUUCACAUGGAUUCUAUGGCUUGGGGUUUUAAAUUUGUAACCUGCCUGCUGUUUCUUCUGUGCCACUUGCUUUGCUCCCAUAGUGACCACCUGGCUUGCUCUCUCUCUUCAUAUUUUUUGUGCCUUAGGGAGAAGACUUCAUCAGAAAGAUCUUCUAUCUGGAAUUAGAAAUAAAGAUUUUUGUUUUAAUCAGAAACAUUUUGAAAUAUAAGAUCAGGCUGGGCACGGUGGCUCACGCCUGUAAUCCCAACACUUUGGAAGGCCGAGGUGGGUGGAUCACGAGGUCAGGAGUUCAAGACCAGCCUGGCCAAGAUGGUGAAAUCCCGUCUCUACUAAAAAAUACAAAAAUUAGCUGGGCAUGGUGGCAGGCGCCUGUAAUCACAGCUACUCGGGAGGCUGAGGCAGAGAAUUGCUUGAACGCGGGAGGCGGAGGUUGCAGUGAGCCAAGAUCGUGCCACUGCACUCCAGCCUGGGUGACAGGGCGAGACUCUGUCUCAAAAAAAGAAAUAUAAGAUCAGGUUUCAAAGAGUUUCUCAUGUAGAAAACAGUAGGAAGCAAACUAAAAUAAAUGCUAUCUGUGUAAGUUGAGAGAACAAAUGUUAUGAGAUGAACUCCAAAUUCCUGUAAAAGGGGAGUCAAAAUUUUUUAAAAAUUAUUUCAUUAUUGUUAUUUUUAGACACGGGUCUCUGUCGCCCAGGCUGUAGUGAGUGCAGUGGUGCAGUCAUAGCUCACUGCAGCCUUGAACUUCUGGGCUCAAGCAAUCCUCCCACCUCAAAAAACUUAAAAAUACUUGUUUCCUAUUGGUUCAUAUUUGAAGACUUCGGUAGGCUACAGAUGAGUUCGUAAUACUUUCCAUUUGCCAUAGCUUAGUACCAGUAGUCUUAAUGUUUUAUUCAUUCAGGAGUUUUUAUGGAUCGUCCAUUGUGGAGUACAUACUAUUCUAAGAAGAUGUUAAUAUCAGAUAAAAGUAAAACUAAUAAUCUUAGACAAGUCAGCAUUAAUUUAAUGAAUGACUUAUCUAGGUUUUGAACCUGGAAUACUACCUUAGUUAGGGUGUUUAAGAAUUUGGGUUUCUUGGCUAGGAUCAUUCAGAAGUAAGGAAGAAUACAUUAGAAGAGGAAAGGGCAUUAGAAGGUAAAUUUUAGUAGUUGAAAAACAUGACCACUGGACAUAGAAAGAUUGUUACUUGACAGAAACCAAGUGUCUUCAACAGUGUCAUCUUCUAGAGACCAUCACCUUGGAAUUAGUUUGGUUAUACAGUAUUUUUCCCUAUAAUCUUAUCUUGAUAUAAUUUUAUCCAUACCUAUUCACAACCCCUUACCUGCAAUUCCAAAAUCCAAAAAUCUGCAAAAACAAAUUUUUCAUAAUUCAUUUGGUGACAUAGCCUGAUCUGAAAUGAUGUGAGGCUAUUUUUAGUGUUUAUCCAACUCAACUAUGAAUAUUUCACUACAGAAACAUUAAUGUCUGAUUACUUUUACGCCCGAGACUCUACAGGUAUUACGUGAUAUGUUUACCACAUUACUUUUUUAAAGUCCAAAAUUUUCUAAACCGAAGAGCAAAUUGGUCCUAAGAUUCUGAAAAUGGCAUUUAAACUUAAAUAAUGAGUGAGACUAAUCUCAUGCAGAAAAAUAUAAUUAAUACUGACAAUGAAUGUGGAUAUUCACGUAAAUUCAGUAUCUCAAAAACUCAUAAACAAAUGCUAUAUUUUCUUUUGGCUUUUUUUUCUUUUUGAAACGGAGUCUUGCUCUGUUGCCCAGGCUGGAGUGCAGUGGUGCGAUCUCGGCUCAUUGCAAGCUCCGCCUCCCGGGUUCACGCUAUUCUCCUGCCUCAGCCUCCCAAGUAGCUGGGACUACAGGUGCCCACCACCACGCCCGACUAAUUUUUUUGUAUUUUUAGUAGAGACGGGGUUUCACCGUGUUAGCUAGGAUGGUCUCCAUCUCCUGACCUCGUGAUCCGCCCGUCUUGGCCUCCCAAAGUGCUGGGAUUACAGGCAUUAGCCACCGCGCCCGGCCUUGGCUUUUUAAAUUAUUGUGUAUUUCUAUAUUAUGCUGGUAGUCAAAUUUGCACAAAACAUUUUUCGAAUAUUCUUUUAAAAGAACUUCCUUUUCAUAAGUGAAAAGAAAAAAAUCAGUGUAAGUUAAAGGGCUUAUAUAUUCCUUUAGUUCCCUGAAUGUCAAAGUAAGCAGGUUUCAUAAUACAUAAUGUGCAAUUAUCCCAUUAAAUGAAAGGCAGCUUACCUCUUCUUUGCCUAAAUUAUAUUCAUCCAAAGGCUGAAGAACAACCAUCCUCCAGCUGUUGAAGAUAAAAACCAAUUUUAAACAGCUUUUAUUUAUUUAAAUGUGGCAAUUUUAUACUCAGCACAGCUAAAUGUAUUAGUGUUUCCUUGGCACUUCCAUGGUUCAAAUUGUUGUAUUUUAAUACUUAAUUUUUUAAAAGAAAAACAUUUGUAUUAUGAGAAAAGGACAAAAGAGAAAAUGAGACUUUAUUUUUGGCCUUAUGGUGAAUAGUCUGUUCUGUAUAGCUGCAUUUUAUACAUAAUAAUUAUGUACUGACUGAAGUCAGUGGUACGCUGAUAAACUGGCCUGGCCAAAAAGUAACAGAGAAGGAAAAAAACCCUGGUUUGUAUGUUUGCCAAUUUCUUUGGUGUGAAAAUACCUACCAUAGCCCCUUUUGAGCCAUCAGUAGUUUAAUAACUGGCUCACAGAAGUCUUCUAUAUUUAACUAUCUGCUCAGCCAGCUAGCUCCAGCCUACCAUUGCAAGUUGAAAUAUAUUUUUGCUAUAGAACGUCAUAGCCACAAAUGUUAUUACUUAUGCAACAAGUAUCCACAGAUUGAGUUCUCAUAUAACUCUUCUAGAAUAUUAUGCUCUUAAUACCUCAAAGUAAUUAUGAAGUAGUAAAAGAAAUGAAAUUAGAAUAGAGAUGUAUAGCAAUUGACUGAAAUUGUCACCCACCUGUCUCUGUUUGCAGCCUUUUCUGUCUCUACUUCCUGGUGUCAUUUAUAUUCUUAAGAAGCUGCAUUCAUGAUUUCUAAAAAGUUUGGCUAACGUUACUGCCAGUAGGGAGCAGAUCUGUGUAUGGCAUUCAGGGACCUCCACAAAUCUGGACCUAACUUUGUCUCUAGCCUUCCAUUAUCAAUCUGGACCUAACUUUGUUUUUAGCCUUCCAUUAUCAACCUGCACAAAACAGUAUCUGGCUAAGCCUUACACACUUGUCCUGUGCCUUUGUUGUCGUAUCCCUAUGUAAAUACCUUCUCCACCUUCCCAUUCCUUCAUGGAUGACUUCCCAGACCUUCCCACUCAUCUUUUGAAUGUGUUUAUUGCUGACUUGGCAAUGCAUCAAAAUCUUUUUUUUUUUUUUUUUUUUUUGGUCACAGGUAUUACUGUCUUACAGUGUGAAUACCCCAUGAAAACGUAGAACUCUUUGCAACUUAUGUCACACCUGUAUCUUCAAGGGCAAGGAUUAUUUGUUGCUAUAGUUUUUAUGUCACUAAAGUACCUUUUAGUGUCAUAUACAUAGUAGAUAACACUGGAUAAUAAUAAUAAAAAAGACUAAGAAUGCUAAAGUAGUCUAGGAAUUCCUAAAUCUUAAUAAAAACUGAGAAAUAAAGUUGUGAUACUAUAUAACACUUAAGGCACGAGUAAUUUUUUUUUCACCGUUUCCCCUCCAUGGCUAUGAAGGAACUGGGAGAAGGAUGCUCCUUUCAUUAAUUAAAAUUCUUCACUUUGAAAAUUUAAGUUUAUUAGGGAAGGAAGGAAGAAAAAUAUGAAGAUGUAAGUAUACAUACCUUGGAGUAAGUAUUUCCUUAUAUUGGAGUUUCUCUAAUUUAGCUGGGGCUACUAAUGACAUGGGAAUCACAAUGUUAUCUAUGUCAUAAGAGCUCUCACUUCUCAAUCUCCGUCGUGCAGUAUUCUGCAAAACAGGAUUACAGUAGAUUUACAGUACUGUCUAGUUACUUGUAAUGAUACCCUCCUUUCAUCAGUUAUGUAAAUAUGGCAGUACACGUUACAUAAUUUUUGUAAAUACAUUGUUAUAAAGUCUGACUAAAAAAUGUUAAGAAAACCAAAAAAUAAAACAUUUUUCUAUCUUUUGUAAAUCAGAACAAUCUCUUGGUAGAUGUGUAAUGUGUAUUUAUGUGUGCAAGCAUACAAGCUUAUUUUUAAGACCACAAAAAAUAGGUCUUAAAUGCAAAACUCUUUAUCAGAAAAGACCAACAUACAUCACCCUAAAUGUCAAUGAAAAUGAUCAGUAACCACUUUUUAUUAGGAAAGGCAGUGAAACAUUUUUGGUCAGCCCUUCAGUAUACUCUUCAUUUAUGCAUUCCUGGUUCCUGAGUUUCGGAAUUCAUUUCUAAACCCUCCCACCUUUUGACCUCUCUAUUCCCUGGCCAGAUAACAAAAAAACAAACAAACAAACAAAAAACAGGACAAGAACAAGAAAGUCCUGAAUUCUCAUUAGUAAGACUUUAUUUAGCUUAAUAUGUUAAGGAAUAGAGAUGAUCAUGAUAAUGUUUAAAUUUUUAACACAUAAAAAGAAGCUAUAACCAAAUAUUAAUGAACUUUUAGCUUCAUAGUUAAAAAUAAGUUGUAUGAAUCAAAUAUAUUGUUUUCUAACAAGAUAGUUAUAAAUGUCUGUUAAUAUGUGCUAGUAAGGCUGUUAUAGAUUAGCAAAAUAUAAAUUAUUUUCAAAAUCAGGUGUUUUUAUUUUUAAAGCUAUUUUAGAGUUCAACAUAUGGAAAAACCUACUCGUGAUGAAUUCUGGAUUCUUGAUAAAACGUUGACAUUGGAAACAGCAGUAAAAUUGCUAUGGGAUCCUGAUUCUGUGUGUUGAAAAUCAGAUUCUUCAAGUUUAGUUCUUUCUCCUGCCAUGGAAAGAACCAUUGAAUGUUACACAUUAAACAAGUCUAAUAUCAUUAGAAUUACUUUCCUAAUUAGAUGACAGGUGAUUGAUUCCUUGUUUUGUGUGUGUGUGUUUAAAUUCGUGUAUUAGAAAACAAAAAAGGAAAUGAAAAAAGAGGAGCCUUACUUGCAGUCAUGCCACAAGUUAUUUCCAUUUUCUGGGGCUUUGGCAGUUUUUAUCGAAUAUAUUUCUUAUUGUUCCCUGAAUAAUCCCUCAUCUCAUCCCUUUAUUCUUGUUUCCUGUGACUCCUAUUCAUAGUUGAACCACCAGAACUAUCUUAAUUUUCUUAUCUAAUCUCAUUUUUCAUAUCUGACUUUUUAUCCUAAUUUAUGUGAGGUAUCUGUCCUUGGUCUUCUGAACACUCUUAAUUUUUUGAAAAAAUUCUGCUAUUAUAAGUACAUGUUUCCGAAAGUACUUGUUCUCUGGUACUCUUUUUUUAAAACAGCAUCCUGUUCUUGUUUCAUAGAUGAAAUUUCUCAUAUCUCUCAGGAUAUUGAUUAGAAGUUUACUUCUGUUAGUAUUUUCUGUAUAUCUUCCAAGUUCUUUUUUUUUUUUUUUCCUGUUUUGGUUCCCAGUUACUGUGUGUGUGUGUGUGUGUAGUAAAUAUAUAUAUGUAUGCGUUUACUUACUGCCCUUAUUUUAGUACAAGUGUUUUAAAAUGAGAAUAUUUCCUGCAUAAUAUAAAAUCUAAUACCCAGUCCAUAUUUAAAUAUCUCCAUUUGUUAAAAAAAAGUCCUUUAUAGCUAGUUUCUUCAGAUAAGGAUCUAUAUAUAAAAAUUGGCCAUUGUCUCCUAGGUUUCUUAUAGUCUAGAAUAAAUCAUUUUUCAUUACAUUGACUUUUGACAGGCUGGACCAGAUGUCCUACCCUUUUGGAAUUGUCUAGUUAUUUAUUUGUAGUAUGACAUUUCUUUAUUUUAUUCCUGUAUGUACAUCAAACUUGAAGUUAGAUCUAAAGUGUCAGUCAAUUUAAGUGAAACAUUUUAUAUCUUAGGUAAUGUAUACUUCAUGUUGCAUCUUAUUAGAUGUUUUUAAAGCUUUAUAUAUAUAUAUAAGUUGAAUCUUGUUGACUUUCUCAAAAUCCUGAGGAAUCUGCAGUGCAUCAACAUCUCCACAGUAGGUACCAUAAAUGGUUAACAGUUUCUGUAAGGCAACUUUGCACUAGCCUAUUUUGAGCAUAGAACACAACUUUGAAGAUUAAAUCCCAUCCAGGGACUGAUUGGUAGAAGACAACUAGUCAGGGAACAUAGGAGGGAAAUACUUAAUUGCCAUAAAGUGGGUAGAUACCAGUCCACAAAUAAUUCUAAAUUAACUACGAAUAUGCUGUUUCAUGUUUGUAGACUCAUAGAUGUUUUGUGUUAUUAGUGGCUGUUCUGGAUUAUAAACUCCCAUGAGAGGUUAUUUUAAAAUCAGAAUUUUUAAUUUUUAAUAUUUAUCACUACUGCUUAUAUCCUCACUUUAACCUACCUAAUGCUGUUUCACUCAAAUGUCUUUUCUUUCUUCCCUGUAACAGUUGUGCAGAAGAUUCUGACCUUAUUUGAGGCUUACAUAUAGGUUUGGAGAUGUGGAAAGGAGUGGAAAAAGAAAUAUGUAAGCUGAAGUGCCAAACUCACACUGAAAUAAAGGGCAUGGCCUACCAGCUGACAAGGAGUGUCUGGUUUCAAGAUGGCAAAUGACCCUAAACAUGAUAGACAAAUACGUUUUACAUAGGUACAUGCACAGAUAGGCACAUAUAAAUCCACAUUUGCAAGCAAAAAGUGGAACCUGUAAAGCAGAAUUUCUGAGGAAUCUCUAAAAGACUAAUACUAUAUGGAAUUUGAAGAGGAAACCCAGAGCAGAAGCACAUAGUGAAGUACUGCCACAAAGAUGUGUGACGCCACUAAAGGUGCUCUAGACCCACAAGAAAGGAAAACUGGGAGCAGGACAACUAUCUGGAUAUUGACUGCACAUGCCAAUAUCUCAGUCAGACUAACAGAAUCAGAGCUUUAGGCAGAGAAAUGAAUGGUUGGAGAGAGAAGGCAAUGCCCAGGUGCCCUGCUUUGAAAUGUCCCGCCCAUCCCCAAAUUAGUCUGAAAAUUUCAAAUGUUGUAUAAAUUCCCUUCCCAUCAAAAGUGUCCCAUAAACAGCAGUGGUAGAAGAGUUUUAACUGAGUAUCACAGCUUCAAUGAUGAGUAUAGAAAACUCCAAAAAUCUGAAUACCAACACAAUCAAAAAAGAGGUACAAACCACAAGUGGAAGAACCAUCUCAAGAAAUAAUGAAGCAUUCAUGGAAUACAGAUUAGCAACUCUUUAAAACAGUAUUGCCAAGAGAAACAGAUGGCAUUGCAGUUGUCAGAUCUCAUUAAGGUCUUAUAUCUGAAACAGUUCCACUGUCUUCCAUAACUUUCAUAACUUUGAACAUUUUGGCUCAUAGGCGAAAGGGAAUUGCCUUAUUUCGAAUGAGACUUUGGACUGUGGACUUCUGAGUUGAUGCUGAAAUGAGUUAAGACUUUGGGGGACUGCUGGGAAGGCAUGAUUGGUUUUGAAAUGUGAGGACGUGAGAUUUGGGAGGGGUUGGGGUGGAAUGAUAUGGUUUGGCUGUGUCCUCACUCAAAUCUCAUCUUGAAUUCCCACAUGUUGUGGGAGGGAUCGGUGGGAGGUAAUUGACUCACGGGGCCAAGUCUUGCUGUUCUUGUGAUAGUGAAUAAGUCUCACAAGAUCUGAUGGUUUUAAAAAGAGGAGUUCCCCUGCACAAGUUCUCUCUCUUUGCCUACUGCCAUCUACGUUAAGACAUGACUUGCUCCUCCUUGCCUUCCACCAUGAUUGCAAGGUAUCCCCAGCCAUGUAGAACUGUAAGUCCAUUAAAUCCUUUUUCCUGUAUAAAUUACCCAGUUUCAGGUAUGUCUUUAUCAGCAGCAUGAAUAUGGACUAAUACAGAAAUUAAAAUGAUGCCUGACACAUAAUUGCUUAAUAAAUAUUAGCUAUUAUUAUUUGACAUUAUCAUUAGUGUUGUAAAAUGAGCAAAGUCAAGUAAAAAUGCAUAACAAUCUAUGCUUUUUAUUAAUCCUGUCUAGCAAAGGAAUCAUAACCUCUGCAAAUAAUUAUUCUAAAUAAUUAUUCCUAUCAGUUUACCUCUACCUCUUCCAUCUUACUGCUCUAGUAGAAAAAUUAGGCCAGGGCAGUGGCUCAUACCUGUAAUCCUAGCACUUUGGAAGGCUAAUGCAGGAGGAUCAUUUUUUGAGCCCAGGAGUUCAAGACAAGCCUAGGCAACAUAGAAAGACCCUGUCUCUACAAAAAAUUUAAAAUUACCUGGGUGUGGCAGUACAUGCUUGUACCAGCUACUUGGGAGGCUGAGGUGGGAGGACUGCUUGAGCCUGGGAGGUCGAGGCUGCAGUGAGCUAUGAUCGUACCACCACACUCCAGGCUGGGUGACACAGUGUGACCUCAUCCCUCCCCCACCAAAA